AGCGAACGCUGGCGGCAGGCCUAACACAUGCAAGUCGAACGGACUCUUCGGAGUUAGUGGCGGACGGGUGAGUAACACGUGGGAACGUGCCUUUAGGUUCGGAAUAAGCCCGGGAAACUGGGUCUAAUACCGAAUGUGCCCUUCGGGGGAAAGAUUUAUCGCCUUUAGAGCGGCCCGCGUCUGAUUAGCUAGUUGGUAGUGUAAUGGACUACCAAGGCUACGAUCAGUGGCUGGUCUGAGAGGAUGACCAGCCACAUUGGGACUGAGACACGGCCCAAACUCCUACGGGAGGCAGCAGUGGGGAAUCUUGCGCAAUGGGCGAAAGCCUGACGCAGCCAUGCCGCGUGAAUGAUGAAGGUCUUAGGAUUGUAAAAUUCUUUCACCGGGGACGAUAAUGACGGUACCCGGAGAAGAAGCCCCGGCUAACUUCGUGCCAGCAGCCGCGGUAAUACGAAGGGGGCUAGCGUUGCUCGGAAUUACUGGGCGUAAAGGGCGCGUAGGCGGACAUUUAAGUCAGGGGUGAAAUCCCAGAGCUCAACUCUGGAACUGCCUUUGAUACUGGGUGUCUUGAGUGUGAGAGAGGUAUGUGGAACUCCGAGUGUAGAGGUGAAAUUCGUAGAUAUUCGGAAGAACACCAGUGGCGAAGGCGACAUACUGGCUCAUUACUGACGCUGAGGCGCGAAAGCGUGGGGAGCAAACAGGAUUAGAUACCCUGGUAGUCCACGCCGUAAACGAU
This 736-nucleotide ribosomal RNA is filed under the name Caulobacter sp. Schreyahn_AOB_Sali_Kultur_16. Its description in RNAcentral is "bacterial SSU rRNA". It matches the Rfam family "Bacterial small subunit ribosomal RNA", at positions 28 to 810 of the family's 1533-position model. Lineage: Bacteria; Pseudomonadati; Pseudomonadota; Alphaproteobacteria; Caulobacterales; Caulobacteraceae. The record is from RNAcentral.